GAUGAAGAACGCAGCGAAAUGCGAUAAGUAAUGUGAAUUGCAGAAUUCAGUGAAUCAUCGAAUCUUUGAACGCACAUUGCGCCCGCCAGUAUUCUGGCGGGCAUGCCUGUUCGAGCGUCAUUUCAACCAUCAAGCCCCCGGCUUGUGUUGGGGACCUGCGGCUGCCGCAGGCCCUGAAAAGCAGUGGCGGGCUCGCUGUCACACCGAGCGUAGUAGCAUACAUCUCGCUCUGGGCGUGCUGCGGGUUCCGGCCGUUAAACCACCUUCAUAACCCAAGGUUGACCUCGGAUCAGGUAGGAAGACCCGCUGAGCUUAAGCAUAUCAAUAAGCGGAGGA
RNAcentral lists this unclassified non-coding RNA (336 nucleotides) under soil metagenome. RNAcentral describes it as "partial contains 5.8S ribosomal RNA, internal transcribed spacer 2, and large subunit ribosomal RNA". The stretch from base 1 to 120 matches the Rfam family "5.8S ribosomal RNA", at positions 35 to 154 of the family's 154-position model. The record is from RNAcentral.